RNAcentral lists this non-coding RNA (117 nucleotides) under Nomascus leucogenys (northern white-cheeked gibbon). The record is from Rfam by way of RNAcentral. Lineage: Eukaryota; Metazoa; Chordata; Mammalia; Primates; Hylobatidae.
GCCAGGCAUAGUGGUGUGUGCCUGUAGUCCCAGCUACUGGGGAGGCUGAGGUAGGAAGAUCACUUGAGUCCAGGAGUUCGAGACCAGCCUGGGCAACAUAGUGAGACCCUGCCUCUA